AGAGUUUGAUCCUGGCUCAGGAUGAACGCUAGCGGCAGGCCUAAUACAUGCAAGUCGGACGGGAUUGGGUGGUAGCUUGCUACCAUUCAUGAGAGUGGCGCACGGGUGCGUAACGCGUGAGCAACCUGCCCCUGUCAGGGGUAUAGCCCCUCGAAAGAGGGAUUAACACCGCAUGAGACAGUAUUCCCGCAUGGGAGAGCUGUUAAAUAUUCAUAGGACAGGGAUGGGCUCGCGUGGCAUUAGCUAGUUGGUAGGGUAACGGCUUACCAAGGCGACGAUGCCUAGGGGCUCUGAGAGGAGAAUCCCCCACACUGGUACUGAGACACGGACCAGACUCCUACGGGAGGCAGCAGUAAGGAAUAUUGGUCAAUGGGCGGGAGCCUGAACCAGCCAUGCCGCGUGCAGGACGAAGGCCCUACGGGUCGUAAACUGCUUUUGCAGGGGAACAAACACCGCUACGCGUAGCGGCUUGAGUGUACCCUGAGAAUAAGGAUCGGCUAACUCCGUGCCAGCCGCCGCGGUAAUAC
This 527-nucleotide ribosomal RNA is filed under the name uncultured bacterium. RNAcentral describes it as "bacterial SSU rRNA". It matches the Rfam family "Bacterial small subunit ribosomal RNA", at positions 8 to 526 of the family's 1533-position model. The record is from RNAcentral.